GACAGAUGGAACAACAUGUGCAAAGUC
Molecule: non-coding RNA, 27 nt
Filed under: Homo sapiens (human)
Lineage: Eukaryota; Metazoa; Chordata; Mammalia; Primates; Hominidae
Source: RNAcentral